GGAAUAUUGGGCAAUGCCCGCAAGGGUGACCCAGCAACGCCGCGUGGAGGAUGAAUGUCGUAAGAUUGUAAACUCCUGUUAGAGGGGACGAAUAGUACCGGUUGGACCGGUAUAUGACUGUACCCUCAGAGAAAGCCCCGGCUAACUACGUGCCAGCAGCCGCGGUAAUACGUAGGGGGCAAGCGUUGUCCGGAUUUACUGGGUGUAAAGGGCGCGCAGGCGGGAUAAAAAGUCAGUGGUGAAAUCCUACAGCUUAACUGUAGAAGUGCCUUUGAUACUUUUAUUCUUGAGUGCGGGAGAGAGAGACGGAAUUCCAGGUGUAGUGGUUAAAUACGUAGAUAUCUGGAAGAACACCUGUUGCGAAGGCGGUCUCUUGGUCCGACACUGACGCUGAGGCGC
RNAcentral lists this ribosomal RNA (399 nucleotides) under uncultured bacterium. Its description in RNAcentral is "bacterial SSU rRNA". It matches the Rfam family "Bacterial small subunit ribosomal RNA", at positions 358 to 754 of the family's 1533-position model. The record is from RNAcentral.